GCAAGUGAAAAUUAUCAUAUGAACUGAACCAGCAACAUAACAAUAUGAAAAUACACCGCAAUAAGAAAUGACUGCCAUAUUCAGCUUUUCUUGCUCAGUUGAUAUGUAUUAAUUGAAGGAUAAAUAGAAUAAACUAGACAAAGAGUUGACAGCAUUUGCAUGCACAGUUACAUUAUAAACCACAGUGGACAAAUGCAUGUUACAGUAGCACAAUAGUUACUAAUAAAACUGAAUAAGCACAAGCAAACGUAGAGUAUGAAUAAUUAUUUAAAAGUUUGGUGGAAUUAGCAAAACAUCAAAUUAAAAUUGCAUCAACAUUAACAUAUAAUCAUGGCCAGUGAAGUGGUUAUUGGGUGAUAUGAUUGUCACAUACUAUAGAAGAAAGUAUAAUGGUAAUAGGAAGGGGCACUUUGGUGGGAAAGGAAGCUAGAGUGUAUAACUUAUUCUGUAACAGAUUUAGUUACUGUUACAUUUGACUUUAGAGAAGUAGUUGCUGAGUUUGAGAUAUAAAUUCUCAAAAAAGCUAAUCUUGUCAUUCAUUCAAGAAUUAUCAAAGAA
Molecule: unclassified non-coding RNA, 558 nt
Filed under: Hevea brasiliensis (rubber tree)
Lineage: Eukaryota; Viridiplantae; Streptophyta; Magnoliopsida; Malpighiales; Euphorbiaceae
Source: RNAcentral